UUAAUUUGAGAGUUUGAUCCUGGCUCAGGACGAACGCUGGCGGCGUGCCUAAUACAUGCAAGUCGAACGAACUCUGGUAUUGAUUGGUGCUUGCAUCAUGAUUUACAUUUGAGUGAGUGGCGAACUGGUGAGUAACACGUGGGAAACCUGCCCAGAAGCGGGGGAUAACACCUGGAAACAGAUGCUAAUACCGCAUAACAACUUGGACCGCAUGGUCCGAGUUUGAAAGAUGGCUUCGGCUAUCACUUUUGGAUGGUCCCGCGGCGUAUUAGCUAGAUGGUGGGGUAACGGCUCACCAUGGCAAUGAUACGUAGCCGACCUGAGAGGGUAAUCGGCCACAUUGGGACUGAGACACGGCCCAAACUCCUACGGGAGGCAGCAGUAGGGAAUCUUCCACAAUGGACGAAAGUCUGAUGGAGCAACGCCGCGUGAGUGAAGAAGGGUUUCGGCUCGUAAAACUCUGUUGUUAAAGAAGAACAUAUCUGAGAGUAACUGUUCAGGUAUUGACGGUAUUUAACCAGAAAGCCACGGCUAACUACGUGCCAGCAGCCGCGGUAAUACGUAGGUGGCAAGCGUUGUCCGGAUUUAUUGGGCGUAAAGCGAGCGCAGGCGGUUUUUUAAGUCUGAUGUGAAAGCCUUCGGCUCAACCGAAGAAGUGCAUCGGAAACUGGGAAACUUGAGUGCAGAAGAGGACAGUGGAACUCCAUGUGUAGCGGUGAAAUGCGUAGAUAUAUGGAAGAACACCAGUGGCGAAGGCGGCUGUCUGGUCUGUAACUGACGCUGAGGCUCGAAAGUAUGGGUAGCAAACAGGAUUAGAUACCCUGGUAGUCCAUACCGUAAACGAUGAAUGCUAAGUGUUGGAGGGUUUCCGCCCUUCAGUGCUGCAGCUAACGCAUUAAGCAUUCCGCCUGGGGAGUACGGCCGCAAGGCUGAAACUCAAAGGAAUUGACGGGGCCCGCACAAGCGGUGGAGCAUGUGGUUUAAUUCAAGCUACGCGAAGAACCUUACCAGGUCUUGACAUACUAUGCAAAUCUAAGAGAUUAGACGUUCCCUUCGGGGACAUGGAUACAGGUGGUGCAUGGUUGUCGUCAGCUCGUGUCGUGAGAUGUUGGGUUAAGUCCCGCAACGAGCGCAACCCUUAUUAUCAGUUGCCAGCAUUAAGUUGGGCACUCUGGUGAGACUGCCGGUGACAAACCGGAGGAAGGUGGGGAUGACGUCAAAUCAUCAUGCCCCUUAUGACCUGGGCUACACACGUGCUACAAUGGAUGGUACAACGAGUUGCGAACUCGCGAGAGUAAGCUAAUCUCUUAAAGCCAUUCUCAGUUCGGAUUGUAGGCUGCAACUCGCCUACAUGAAGUCGGAAUCGCUAGUAAUCGCGGAUCAGCAUGCCGCGGUGAAUACGUUCCCGGGCCUUGUACACACCGCCCGUCACACCAUGAGAGUUUGUAACACCCAAAGUCGGUGGGGUAACCUUUUAGGAACCAGCCGCCUAAGGUGGGACAGAUGAUUAGGGUGAAGUCGUAACAAGGUAGCCGUAGGAGAACCUGCGGCUGGAUCACCUCCUUUCUAAGGAA
RNAcentral lists this ribosomal RNA (1574 nucleotides) under Lactiplantibacillus plantarum. RNAcentral's name for it is "Lactobacillus plantarum 16S ribosomal RNA". It matches the Rfam family "Bacterial small subunit ribosomal RNA". Lineage: Bacteria; Bacillati; Bacillota; Bacilli; Lactobacillales; Lactobacillaceae. The record is from RNAcentral.